This 91-nucleotide microRNA precursor is filed under the name Otolemur garnettii (small-eared galago). RNAcentral describes it as "microRNA 101-2 (ENSOGAG00000017863.2)". The stretch from base 9 to 83 matches the Rfam family "mir-101 microRNA precursor family". Rfam says of the family: The hairpin precursors (represented here) are predicted based on base pairing and cross-species conservation -- their extents are not known. Lineage: Eukaryota; Metazoa; Chordata; Mammalia; Primates; Galagidae. The record is from RNAcentral.
GACUGAACUGUCCUUUUUCGGUUAUCAUGGUACCGAUGCUGUGUAUCUGAAAGGUACAGUACUGUGAUAACUGAAGAAUGGUGGUGCCAUC